AGCCUCGGUGGGAGAGUUGGCGACGGGAGAUGUCGAAGGAGAAGUAGUCGGAGACGACGAUGGGGGAGAAGGUGGAGAGUCGGCGACGGGAGAUGUCGAAGGAGAAGUCGAUGGUGAAGUGCUCGAUGGAGAAGGAGCGGCGGCCGUAGGUGGAGUGCUCAAAGGAGAAGGAGCGGCGGCAGUAGGUGGAGUGCUCGACGGAGAAGGGGCGGCAGGAGCUUGUUUGGGAGAAAGCGUAGGAGACUUGGCUGGCGACGAUGCAGGGGAUUGCGCCCCGGUCGAGGCCAGCAACAAAGCAGCCAUAAGCACGAAAACGACGCCGCUGAAUCGAGCCAUUUGUAGAGAGAAAAAGAGAGAAACUCAAACAGAGAUUGUGAGAGAGAGAGCGAGAGAGAGGAGUCUAGUGAGGGUUAGAGGCGAAUAGCAGAUGGGUUUUAGGAGAGCAGAUCGGGGUUUAUAUAGAGGGAGGGGGAGGAGACGCGUGGCGUGUAGCAAACCGUUGGACGGUGGCGAUUUUCUCGCUGUGAGCCUGUGAUGAUUCAAGGUCGGUUGGGGUAAAAAGAGAACGUGUUACCAACUCAGAGCCGAAACACGCUUUGUUUAUUGGACUGGGCUGGUUCUUUUAUGGCCGUUGGAUGUAUGCUUUACAGCCUAUAACGGUUAACUAUCCGACGGUGCAGAUGGUAGGUUAUCUGGCAGAUUCGCUUCUUUCUUUUGUUUUUAUUUUAGUUGGACUUUUCUUUUUCUUUUGGAAAUCUUUCUUUCUUUCUUUUAUUUUCUGGCUGUACAGAUUGUUAUCUUAAAGCAAACGGAUCCUUUCUUUCAAUCUUAGGUGCCAGAUUGGAAAAUUUGAAGCUAAGGUAGGGCAUGUCAGCUAGGUUUUUAUCGAGGUCCUUUCAUGCACCUUAUCUUUCACCUUUGUAAGUUUUAUUCUCAAUUAAUGAAUAUAAUACUUUUUUAUAUUUUUUAUAAAAAUAAAAAAUAAAUAAAUCGAACAGUUUAACCAUUUUUUUUAACUAACAAUAGCGUUAGCAGGUUAAAUUAUUCAUUUUUAGAAAGAAAGAGAAUUGGUGGGGGUCGAACUUGCACUAAAGUGAUAAACGUGAUUGUUUUUUGUCAUUGUGAUAAAAUGUCAUCAGCACGAUUAAACUAUUUGUUACUUGUUUGAUUUUUAUAAUAUUAAAAUAGACAGAUUUUGAUAAUUAAGUAGACAUAUCAUUUUUAGGGCAAGCAUGAAAUUUAGUCCAAGUGAGAUUUUGAAAAGAAGGAAAGAAAGUAGAAAGUGUCUUGUGGAAUUGACUGAUUCUCUUGUAAGACGGGGUAUGGAGUCCUUGAGUCAGUCCACUUUUAACCCUUCAAAGAGGGCAUAGAAGCCUAGAUAGGUUAUAAUAGCCCGUUCAACUUCCAUUCAAUUGUUAGGUUUUGACUCGAUGUAUUUGUCUUGCUAUGGAAAAUAAUGCCUUACAAGACACUACAUAUAUGAUCCAGCUUCCGGCAAUUGCAAUGGCUUCUUUAUUUUUUUUAUAUAUUAAAAAAAUGAGUUCUUAGAUACAACAAGAACAAAUCUUAUAUAUAUAUAUAUAUUCAAGACUUACUUGAUACAAUAAAAAUCUCUGUUUGGAAAAUUUGAAGCUAAAGUAGGGCAUGUUAGCUAGGAUUUAGAAUUAUUUUGUACAUGAAGAAAUAGACCGAAUGGUUAAAUCAUUGUUUUUAACGAACAAUAGCUUUAAAUUUAACUCGUUAAUUGUUAGGAGGGAGUAGGAUUGGUGGAAAUCGAACCUGCACUAAAGUGCACAAGCAUGAUUACUUUUCGUCACUACGAUAAAGUGUCAUCAGCACAAUGAAACCACUUUCUUCUUCAUUGAUUUUUAUAAUGUUAAAAUAGACGAUUUUGAUAAUUAAGUAGACAUAUCAUUUUUAGGGCAAGCAUGAAACUUUGUCCAAGUGAGAUUUUGUUAAGAAGGAAAGAAAGAAGAAAGUGUCAAGUGGAAUUGAAUGAUUCUGUAGUGAGAAAGGGAAUGGAGUGCUUGAGUCAAUCCACUUUUAACCCUUCAAAGAGGGCAUAGAACAAUAGAUAAGUUAUAGCCCGUUCAACUUCCAUUAGGUUCUGACUCAUAUAUUUGUCUUGCUGUGAUAAGAAUGCCUUACCGGACACUACACAUAUGAUCCAGCUCCCGGCCGAGGUAUCCGUUUUAUGAUAACUUUCAACAGUUUCUGCUCCAUUUUUGUACCUUUAGUUGGCCUUAAUAUUCUCGGCAAUUGCAAUGGCUUCUUUAUCUCCUUAUGUUUAAAAAAAAAAUUAAAAAAUCAAGAGGUUUCAUAUACAACAAGGACAAAUCAUAUAUAUAUUCAUGACUUGCUUGGAUCAUAACACAAAUAUCUAUUUGGUAUAAUAUCGCAUGGAAACAAACAAGGUUAAAUUGAUACUAUAGAAAUCUCUAGUAAAAUGUCUACCCGUAAUCUACAUAGUUCAUUUUAGGGAUUGGCCCCUGCGUUUGUGGUUUCACCCUUUUGGGUGUAAUAGCUUCAAAGUUUGAUAGUUUACGUUAAAGACAGAUCCGCUUCUUUUUUUGUGCAUGAAUUUGGUGUAUACAACAACACCCAUAUUUAUGUCACUUCUAACUAGGCUUAAAAAUGAAAUUUGUUCAUGUCUCCAACGAUUUCAUGUAUGCCGAUUUUAUUGUUGUAUGAAAAUUUUAGCUGAGGAGGUGGGAAACAAUAUUAGAAACAUCUUUCAAACUUUAAAAGACAAGACAAAAGACAAAAGUUGCUACGUCUCAUGUUGCUUUACUGACAAAUUUGAUUGGAUUCAGGAAUUGAUGCUGAUACUUUUGUUGUAAUGUCAAUUAUGUCGAAACAUAAGCUACUCUACUUUCGAGUUGGUUGUAUUCAAAAAUGCUUUUCAUCGUUUAAAAGCGUUUUCAGCUAUCUCAAAAGCAUAAUGGUGUCCAUAUUCUAAUAACAGAGGUUCUUGGAUAUGAAUGCAGGGCAAAUUUGGUGAUAACACAUAUUGAAAUAAUAAUCGAAAAAUAAUGUCUCUUUAUAUUCUCAUAUAACCGCGCUACAAAUUUAAAUUAAUAAAAGAAUUUAAUACAAUAAUAAGUGGAAAUUCAAAAGUCCAUAAACACCCCCACUCUACAUAACCAAUACAGCAGCGAAGAUCCCAGCGGCUACAGACGCGGAGGCUGAGAACCUGUUCAAAACAGCACCGUUAGCAGGAGCGGGAGCCUCGGAGGGAGGUCCAGAAACUGAAGAUGGAGAAGUAGUCGGAGACGACGAUAGGGGAGAAGGUGGAGUGUCAGCGACGGGAGAUGUCGAAGGAGAAGCGGAUGGUGAAGUGCUCGAUGGAGAAGGAGCGGCGGCAGUAGGUGGAGUGCUCGACGGAGAAGGGGCGGCGGGAGAUUUUUUGGGGGAAAGUGAGGGAGACUUGGCUGGUGACGAUGCAGGGGAUUGCGCCCAGGUCGAGGCCAGCAAGAGAGAAACCAUUAGCACCAAAACGACGCCGAAGAAUCGAGCCAUUUGUAGAGAGAGAAACAGAACUCAAACAAAGAUUUUUAGAGAGAGAGGAAGAGAGGAAUUAAGUGAUUGAGAGGCAACUGAAUGAAUGAUGGUUUAAGGAGAAGGGCGGGGGGUUUAUAUAGGGGGAGGCGGAGGACACGUGGCUUUAAAGUACCGUUGGACGGUGAGAUUUUCUGGCUGUGAAGGUUGGAUGGUGGGGUUGGGAAACGUGUUACCAAACUCAGAGAAGAUACGCGGUUUGUUUUAUCGGGCUGGAAUGUUGACCGUUGGAUGGGUACCUUAGGUUAUAACGGGUAGUUUUCCUACGGUGGAGAUUGUAGGUUAUCUGGCAGGUUCGCUUUGUUCUU
Molecule: long non-coding RNA, 3866 nt
Filed under: Malus domestica (apple)
Lineage: Eukaryota; Viridiplantae; Streptophyta; Magnoliopsida; Rosales; Rosaceae
Description: long non-coding RNA (MDOM_LNC010775)
Source: RNAcentral